CAGUCGCCACGGUAAUACGUAGGGUGCGAGCGUUAAUCGGAAUUACUGGGCGUAAAGCGUGCGCAGGCGGUUUUGUAAGACAGAGGUGAAAUCCCCGGGCUCAACCUGGGAACUGCCUUUGUGACUGCAAGGCUAGAGUACGGCAGAGGGGGAUGGAAUUCCGCGUGUAGCAGUGAAAUGCGUAGAUAUGCGGAGGAACACCGAUGGCGAAGGCAAUCCCCUGGGCCUGUACUGACGCUCAUGCACGAAAGCGUGGGGAGCAAACAGGAUUAGAUACCCCAGUAGUCCCUGUCUCUUAUAC
RNAcentral lists this ribosomal RNA (301 nucleotides) under uncultured bacterium. RNAcentral's name for it is "partial 16S ribosomal RNA". It matches the Rfam family "Bacterial small subunit ribosomal RNA", at positions 509 to 807 of the family's 1533-position model. The record is from RNAcentral.